UUGCCAGGGAACUACGAGCUAAGCUUAAAACCCAAAGGACUUGACGGUACCCCAUAUCCCCCUAGAGGAGCCUGUCCUAUAAUCGAUAAUCCACGAUUGACCUCACCAUUUUCUAGUUUAUCAGCUUGUAUACCUCCGUCGUCAGCUUACCACGUGAGCGCUUAACUUAGUGAGCUUAAUGUUGUUUCACCCACACGUCAGGUCAAGGUGCAGUAUAUGUAAUGGAAAGAGAUGGGCUACACUUUCUACCCUAGAACACACGAAAAACUAAAUAUGAAAUCUAGUUAGAAGGCGGAUUUAGUAGUAAAAAGGAAUUAGAACGUCCAUUUUAACUCGGCACUGGGGUGUGUACACACCGCCCGNUCACCCUCA
This 372-nucleotide ribosomal RNA is filed under the name Atelopus bomolochos (Azuay stubfoot toad). RNAcentral describes it as "partial 12S ribosomal RNA". It matches the Rfam family "Bacterial small subunit ribosomal RNA", at positions 869 to 1406 of the family's 1533-position model. RNAcentral also lists the same sequence under 1 other name. The record is from RNAcentral. Lineage: Eukaryota; Metazoa; Chordata; Amphibia; Anura; Bufonidae.